GAGGUCAGUGUUAGUGACAUGGGUGUGCAAGGUUGACUGUUGGUCGUCUUGGCUCUUUAUUUGACCCCAGUGGAGAGGUUAAAGAAAACUGAAUCUGAGGAGUACUGUCCGGGUAGCAGUGUUGAGAAGUAGUGUUGUUUCUCUCGAGGAAUUGGCAAUCAGCCGAAUCUUCAAAUUAAUUAAUGUGUAAUGGAAACGGUGUCUUCAGAAAUUGAUGAAGUUCACACCACAUGUAAUGUACGCCUUCCAGUGUAUUGAUUUUCACUACAGGUAUGUUAAUUUAUAUUGGCUAAUAUGAAUUACCUACCGAAAGGGAGGCGUUAGGAUAUAUCACCAAAAUCUUAAUUUGGUCCAGAUGUAUGAGACGUGAUGAGCUGAGAAGGUGAGCACGAAGGUGGGAUAUUAGUGUGACCUGGUGACCUUAAAGUCCCACUUGACUCUGAGCUACAUCAGUAUCAGGGUCAUCACUCUCGUGGCCUGGUCUGGGACCAGGCUUCUUGACUAAUGACUUAUCAGUCACCUUGUUGGUUUCAGCAGGGUGCAAGCCAACGUAGGCACUAUAGCCCGGCUGACGCUUAAGAACCUUAGUUGCCCCUCUUGAAGAGAGCUAGGAUUCUGCUGGCAAGUUACCUUAUAAAUAAAGGAAAAGUAUUUUUGAUAAAACUUGUAUGCUAACGUUGUCUGUAGUCAAGGCAUCCUCGGGAUUACCUAACGUCUGAAACUAGUGUACACUGGGAAGACAGAUAACAGAAGACUUUACGGCCAUAUCAGGGUUAUCUGUAUAGAAGAACUAAACUGUCGAUAAAUGUGAGAAACUGAACCAAUAAUAAGCAAGCAAAUCUAAAAUCAACUACGUAUACCGAGAUGAUGUCAUACGCACGUAUUCACUGGCAUUACCAACACCGGGGCGUUGUAAUGCUGGCAAUGGGAAAAGUCGGUAGAGAGUAUGGAAAUUUUUAGCGAGAGCAGCGAUGCCACAUGUCGCUAGCAUGCCAGCAACCAACCCUCAUGGGAACACCACUACCCCACACACUACCUAAGCAUAACGUGUGUGCAAGUUGAAGCGUUAUCACACUCGCACGGGUCAGAAUUUAGUUUAAUGAGUGAAAACACAUCUUUUAGCCAGUAUUUUGUGUAUUUAGCGUGAAUGUUAACCCAUAUCCAACUAAAAAUUUUCGAUAGUUAAUUAAAAAUCCCUCUAAAUACCGCCUCUUUCAUACACAUGCCUGUCUUAACGCCUAGUUUUCAUUCAUAAUGUAAUGGAUCUUCAUCAUGUGCUAAUUCGCUGUCAACUUAGACUGACAGCUUCAUCAUAAGCAGACAAAACUUGGCGGUAUCAAAGAGGGCAGACAGAGAGGUUGAGAGGAAGGAGCCAGUAACAAGGAGUCACAGAUGUAAACUAAACAUACACAUGAACCUCAGGGAUGUCCAAGUAUUUAUCCAGUCGCAGCAUGACUAAUAAUUAUGAGAUAAGGAUGUGGUUGGGGUACCUUCCAGUCAACUUCAAAAGUAGGUAUGACAGUCAGGGAGGCGAGAAUACAGUGGAUGUGGUUCAAGCUAACCCAAGAGGCGGAGCCUGGAGCUGCAUUUUGAAACACAACUGUGAAUGAAUAUUUAACUCGCUAGUUUACUGGGUUUACCCAUCUCAACACUGAUCAUGCUCCUUAUCAUAAUCUGUCGGACACAAAAAUAAUUUACUGGACUUUAUUGACAAUCGACAGAACCAAGUAAAACUGGCACUAUUUCAAACGAAAUCAAUAUCUCUCGUUCUUUCUAACGUCAGUUUAAAAAGUUACUUAUUCAUAAUCUAUGAAACUAAAUAUUCCGGUUAUUUAAAAAGAGCAUGAUACAUUUUAAUACCUCACCGGGGAAACGCCUGCAAUACAAAAAAAGUCGAAGCUACUUUAUCAGUAUAUUUAAAGCUGGUGUCUACGUUCAUUCUCACAUGACUAACAAAGUCGUCUUGUCUUGUAUGUGUAGGCUUGCUUUGCCCCGGAUCAUUCUCGUCACCAGCAGGUUACAAACCGUCAUUCCCGUCCCCUGGCAGUGUGUUCCACUAUGGUGGCUGGCCGCGCAUUUUCGUGUUAAUAAUCACUACCUGGCUACUUUGCCCCUUGUCAUUAUUUUGAAAAAAGUUUUUUAUGUAUUCAUACUCGUGCAACAUUGUCACUGAGGAAAUAUAGCAUAUUUCAAAUUAUGAGGGUUGUAAACAAUGAUGGCAGUAAAUUCGAACUGAGAAGUUAGCAAAUAUAAGAACUGGCAAAUAUCUCCCCCGUGAUAACAUACAGGUCGAGGUAGGGAGACGGAUCCACUGUGUUCGCUCACUGACCUUGACCUCGACGUAAUAUGAACUAGCCUAAUGUUUGAUGUUAAUGUAAUUCCUGUAUUAUACACCACGAGAAUAAUUUACACUGUUGUUAAGUGCUGUUGAAGCAAUUAAAUAUUAUAAUGUAUUCGUAGUCAA
Cherax quadricarinatus is the source of this 2464-nucleotide long non-coding RNA. RefSeq lists it as uncharacterized. Lineage: Eukaryota; Metazoa; Arthropoda; Malacostraca; Decapoda; Parastacidae. The record is from RefSeq and is a predicted model, not a curated record.